AACUUUCUCACAAAAGGAUUUUUUUUAGCCCUAUCAACAACCCCAACAGCCCCAUUUACCUCAAGUGGGAGGAGAGGGGUCUCUUGGUGGAUUGGGGAGUAUGGGAGGUCUCUUAUCAAAUUUGGCUGGGCAGAUCCUUCACAACCCAAAGGGCAAUUAAUAAUGAAAAUAAUUUGCACCAUGCAAUACAGAACGUACCUAUUCUACCAAAAGCAAUGCCUUAAAAAGUAAAUAAAAUAUUAUUGGACAACUAAUAUCGUAUAAUACUCGUUACAUGUCAAAUAUUUAUGGAUUGGAUUAAUUUAAGCUUAAUUAGGUGCAUUUAACUAACACUGAGCAAAUGAUUAGACAAACUAAUCUCGAAUUUUUAUUGUUGGCCUUCUUGAAUCUCAAUAAAUACUUCUAUAUAUUGUUCA
Molecule: long non-coding RNA, 416 nt
Organism: Anoplophora glabripennis (Asian longhorned beetle)
Lineage: Eukaryota; Metazoa; Arthropoda; Insecta; Coleoptera; Cerambycidae
Exons: 2
Source: RefSeq, a predicted model, not a curated record